GACGAACGCUGGCGGCGUGCUUAACACAUGCAAGUCGAACGGAAAGGCCCUGCUUUUGUGGGGUGCUCGAGUGGCGAACGGGUGAGUAACACGUGAGUAACCUGCCCUUGACUUUGGGAUAACUUCAGGAAACUGGGGCUAAUACCGGAUAGGAGCUCCUGCUGCAUGGUGGGGGUUGGAAAGUUUCGGCGGUUGGGGAUGGACUCGCGGCUUAUCAGCUUGUUGGUGGGGUAGUGGCUUACCAAGGCUUUGACGGGUAGCCGGCCUGAGAGGGUGACCGGCCACGUUGGGACUGGAAUACGGCCCAGACUCCAACGGGAGGCAGCGGUGGGGAAGAGUGCACAAUGGACGGAAGCCUGAUGCAGCAACGCCGCGUGCGGUAUGACGGCCUUCGGUUUGUAAACCGCUGUCGCCUGUGACGAAGCGUGAGUGACGGUAAUGGGUAAAGAAGCACCGGCUAACUACGUG
RNAcentral lists this ribosomal RNA (468 nucleotides) under uncultured bacterium. RNAcentral describes it as "partial 16S ribosomal RNA". It matches the Rfam family "Bacterial small subunit ribosomal RNA", at positions 28 to 507 of the family's 1533-position model. The record is from RNAcentral.